CGCUGCAAGCAGGGGAGCCCAUGCGAACGGGCUGAGAGGGCGGGAGCGACCCGCCGACCCUUCGAACCUGAUCCGGUUCGCACCGGCGGAGGGAGCGAGCAUGGCGAGCGU
RNAcentral lists this non-coding RNA (111 nucleotides) under Actinomycetota bacterium. RNAcentral describes it as "Actinobacteria bacterium TPP sequence". It matches the Rfam family "TPP riboswitch aptamer (THI element)". Rfam says of the family: Vitamin B(1) in its active form thiamin pyrophosphate (TPP) is an essential coenzyme that is synthesised by coupling of pyrimidine and thiazole moieties in bacteria. The previously detected thiamin-regulatory element, thi box was extended, resulting in a new, highly conserved RNA secondary structure, the THI element, which is widely distributed in eubacteria and also occurs in some archaea. Analysis of operon structures identified a large number of new candidate thiamin-regulated genes, mostly transporters, in various prokaryotic organisms. Lineage: Bacteria; Bacillati; Actinomycetota. The record is from RNAcentral.